RNAcentral lists this ribosomal RNA (253 nucleotides) under uncultured bacterium. RNAcentral describes it as "partial 16S ribosomal RNA". It matches the Rfam family "Bacterial small subunit ribosomal RNA", at positions 524 to 776 of the family's 1533-position model. The record is from RNAcentral.
UACGUAGGGACCGAGCGUUGUCCGGAUUCAUUGGGCGUAAAGAGCUCGUAGGCGGCUGUUCAAGUCGAACGUGAAAACUCGGAGCUCAACUCCGAGCCUGCGUUCGAUACUGGACGGCUAGAGUCUGGUAGGGGGAUCUGGAAUUCCUGAUGUAGCGGUGGAAUGCGCAGAUAUCAGGAGGAACACCAAUGGCGAAGGCAGCUCACUGGGACGGUACUGACGCUGAGACGCGAAAGCGUGGGGAGCAAACAGG